GAUGAACGCUGGCGGCGUGCCUAAUACAUGCAAGUCGAACGAAUCUUCUUCGGAAGAUGAGUGGCGAACGGGUGAGUAAUACAUAGGUAACCUGCCCCUGUGCGGGGGAUAACAGGAGGAAACUCCUGCUAAUACCGCAUAGCCAUGAGCACCGCAUGGAGCUCAUGCCAAAUAUCCUUUAUGGGAUAGCGCAGGGAUGGACCUAUGGCGCAUUAGCUGGUUGGCGGGGCAACGGCCCACCAAGGCAACGAUGCGUAGCCGGCCUGAGAGGGCGGACGGCCACAUUGGGACUGAGACACGGCCCAGACUCCUACGGGAGGCAGCAGUAGGGAAUUUUCGGCAAUGGGGGAAACCCCGACCGAGCAACGCCGCGUGAGCGAAGAAGGCCUUCGGGUCGUAAAGCUCUGUUGUAAAGGAAGAACGGCGCAUACAGGAAAUGGUAUGCGAGUGACGGUACUUUACCAGAAAGCCACGGCUAACUACGUGCCAGCAGCCGCCGUAA
This 502-nucleotide ribosomal RNA is filed under the name uncultured bacterium. RNAcentral's name for it is "partial 16S ribosomal RNA". It matches the Rfam family "Bacterial small subunit ribosomal RNA", at positions 28 to 523 of the family's 1533-position model. The record is from RNAcentral.